GACGAACGCUGGCGGCGUGCUUAACACAUGCAAGUCGAACGGUGAAGGGGCCUGCUUUUGUGGGUCCUGGAUGAGUGGCGAACGGGUGAGUAACACGUGAGUAACCUGCCCCCUUCUUCUGGAUAACCGCAUGAAAGUGUGGCUAAUACGGGAUAUUCUGUGCCUGCUGCAUGGUGGGUGUGGGAAAGAUUGCGCCCUUUUUGGGUGUUUUUGGUGGGGGAUGGGCUCGCGGCCUAUCAGCUUGUUGGUGGGGUGAUGGCCUACCAAGGCGGUGACGGGUAGCCGGCCUGAGAGGGUGGACGGUCACACUGGGACUGAGACACGGCCCAGACUCCUACGGGAGGCAGCAGUGGGGAAUAUUGCACAAUGGGCGCAAGCCUGAUGCAGCGACGCCGCGUGAGGGAUGGAGGCCUUCGGGUUGUGAACCUCUUUCGCCAGUGAAGCGGGCCUGCUCCUUGGUGGGUGGGUUGACGGUAGCUGGAUAAGAAGCGCCGGCUAACUACGUGCCAGCAGCCGCGGUAAUACGUAGGGCGCGAGCGUUGUCCGGAAUUAUUGGGCGUAAAGAGCUCGUAGGCGGCUGGUCGCGUCUGUCGUGAAAUCCUCUGGCUUAACUGGGGGCUUGCGGUGGGUACGGGCCGGCUUGAGUGCGGUAGGGGAGGCUGGAACUCCUGGUGUAGCGGUGGAAUGCGCAGAUAUCAGGAAGAACACCGGUGGCGAAGGCGGGUCUCUGGGCCGUUACUGACGCUGAGGAGCGAAAGCGUGGGGAGCGAACAGGAUUAGAUACCCUGGUAGUCCACGCCGUAAACGUUGGGCACUAGGUGUGGGGGGCCUUUUCCGGGUUUUCCGCGCCGUAGCUAACGCAUUAAGUGCCCCGCCUGGGGAGUACGGCCGCAAGGCUAAAACUCAAAGGAAUUGACGGGGGCCCGCACAAGCGGCGGAGCAUGCGGAUUAAUUCGAUGCAACGCGAAGAACCUUACCAAGGCUUGACAUGUGCCGGUCGGCUCCGGAGACGGGGUUUCCUCCUUGUGGGGCCGGUUCACAGGUGGUGCAUGGUUGUCGUCAGCUCGUGUCGUGAGAUGUUGGGUUAAGUCCCGCAACGAGCGCAACCCUUGUCUCGUGUUGCCAGCACGUUGUGGUGGGGACUCGCGGGAGACUGCCGGGGUCAACUCGGAGGAAGGUGGGGAUGACGUCAAAUCAUCAUGCCCCUUAUGUCUUGGGCUUCACGCAUGCUACAAUGGCCGGUACAGAGGGCUGCGAUACUGUGAGGUGGAGCGAAUCCCUUAAAGCCGGUCUCAGUUCGGAUCGGUGUCUGCAACUCGACACCGUGAAGUUGGAGUCGCUAGUAAUCGCAGAUCAGCAACGCUGCGGUGAAUACGUUCUCGGGCCU
RNAcentral lists this ribosomal RNA (1387 nucleotides) under uncultured bacterium. RNAcentral describes it as "bacterial SSU rRNA". It matches the Rfam family "Bacterial small subunit ribosomal RNA", at positions 28 to 1381 of the family's 1533-position model. The record is from RNAcentral.